GUAGGUGGCAAGCGUUGUCCGGAAUUAUUGGGCGUAAAGCGCGCGCAGGCGGUUCUUUAAGUCUGAUGUGAAAGCCCACGGCUCAACCGUGGAGGGUCAUUGGAAACUGGAGAACUUGGGUACAGAAGAGGAAAGCGGAAUUCCACGUGUAGCGGUGAAGUGCGUAGAGAUGUGGAGGAACACCAGUGGCGAAGGCGGCUUUCUGGUCUGUAACUGACGCUGAGGCGCGAAAGCGUGGGGAGCAAACAGGGAUUAGAUACCCUGGUAGUCCACGCCGUAAACGAUGAGUGCUAAGUGUUAGGGGGUUUCCCGCCCCUUAGUGCUGCAGCUAACGCAUUAAGCACUCCGCCUGGGGAGUACGGCCGCAAGGCUG
Molecule: ribosomal RNA, 373 nt
Filed under: uncultured organism
Description: partial 16S ribosomal RNA
Rfam family: Bacterial small subunit ribosomal RNA
Source: RNAcentral